This 468-nucleotide ribosomal RNA is filed under the name uncultured bacterium. RNAcentral describes it as "partial 16S ribosomal RNA". It matches the Rfam family "Bacterial small subunit ribosomal RNA", at positions 28 to 507 of the family's 1533-position model. The record is from RNAcentral.
GACGAACGCUGGCGGCGUGCUUAACACAUGCAAGUCGAACGGAAAGGCCCUGCUUUUGUGGGGUGCUCGAGUGGCGAACGGGUGAGUAACAUGUGAGUAACCUGCCCUUGACUUUGGGAUAGCUUCAGGAAACUGGGGCUAAUACCGGAUAGGAGCUCCUGCUGCAUGGUGGGGGUUGGAAAGUUUCGGCGGUUGGGGAUGGACUCGCGGCUUAUCAGCUUGUUGGUGGGGUAGUGGCUUACCAAGGCUUUGACGGGUAGCCGGCCUGAGAGGGUGACCGGCCACAUUGGGACUGAGAUACGGCCCAGACUCCUACGGGAGGCAGCAGUGGGGAAUAUUGCACAAUGGGCGGAAGCCUGAUGCAGCAACGCCGCGUGCGGGAUGACGGCCUUCGGGUUGUAAACCGCUUUCGCCUGUGACGAAGCGUGAGUGACGGUAAUGGGUAAAGAAGCACCGGCUAACUACGUG